Molecule: ribosomal RNA, 506 nt
Filed under: Lacticaseibacillus rhamnosus
Lineage: Bacteria; Bacillati; Bacillota; Bacilli; Lactobacillales; Lactobacillaceae
Description: bacterial SSU rRNA
Rfam family: Bacterial small subunit ribosomal RNA
Source: RNAcentral
CUAUAUGCAGUCGAACGAGUUCUGAUUAUUGAAAGGUGCUUGCAUCUUGAUUUAAUUUUGAACGAGUGGCGGACGGGUGAGUAACACGUGGGUAACCUGCCCUUAAGUGGGGGAUAACAUUUGGAAACAGAUGCUAAUACCGCAUAAAUCCAAGAACCGCAUGGUUCUUGGCUGAAAGAUGGCGUAAGCUAUCGCUUUUGGAUGGACCCGCGGCGUAUUAGCUAGUUGGUGAGGUAACGGCUCACCAAGGCAAUGAUACGUAGCCGAACUGAGAGGUUGAUCGGCCACAUUGGGACUGAGACACGGCCCAAACUCCUACGGGAGGCAGCAGUAGGGAAUCUUCCACAAUGGACGCAAGUCUGAUGGAGCAACGCCGCGUGAGUGAAGAAGGCUUUCGGGUCGUAAAACUCUGUUGUUGGAGAAGAAUGGUCGGCAGAGUAACUGUUGUCGGCGUGACGGUAUCCAACCAGAAAGCCACGGCUAACUACGUGCCAGCGCCGCGGUAA